AAACUCACCAGGUCCAGACAUAGUAAGGAUUGACAGAUUGAUGGCGCUUUCAUGAUUCUAUGGGUGGUGGUGCAUGGCCGUUCUUAGUUGGUGGAGUGAUUUGUCUGGUUAAUUCCGAUAACGAACGAGACCUUGACCUGCUAAAUAGACGGGUUGACAUUUUGUUGGCCCCUUAUGUCUUCUUAGAGGGACUAUCAUACGUCUAGUUGAUGGAAGUUCGAGGCAAUAACAGGUCUGUGAUGCCCUUAGAUGUUCUGGGCUGCACGCGCGCUACACUGACAGAGACAACGAGUGGGGUCCCUUGUCUGAGAAGACCGGGUAAACUUGUGAAACUCUGUCGUGCUGGGGAUAGAGCUUUGUAAUUUUUGCUCUUCAACGAGGAAUUCCUAGUAAGCGCAAGUCAUCAGCUUGCGUUGAUUACGUCCCUGCCCUUUGUACACACCGCCCGUCGCUACUACCGAUUGAAUGGCUUAGUGAGGACUUGGGACAGUACGACGGGGAGCCAGCAAUGGCACCCUGUUGGCUGGAUCUCUUACAAACUUGGUCAUUUAGAGGAAGUAAAA
Molecule: ribosomal RNA, 563 nt
Filed under: Ustanciosporium standleyanum
Lineage: Eukaryota; Fungi; Basidiomycota; Ustilaginomycetes; Ustilaginales; Cintractiaceae
Description: SSU rRNA
Rfam family: Eukaryotic small subunit ribosomal RNA
Source: RNAcentral